GCUCCCUCCGCCGCGGCUCAGAGCAUCGUUACUCUGACUGUCAGUGUGCUCACUAAAUUGUGUCAGUCACACAGUUGGUUUUCAGCAGGCGUCACUCUGAAGUCGUCUCUAAUGGCGUGCCAUGCACCAAACGCCGCGUCUUACCUAGUUGACGGUGCUGAGUGUAGCCCCCCGAAGCCGCCUCAAACCUAUUACUGAAAACCGGGAGAGAGGAAAGAGGAGAGGUGAGCAGACGAAAAGCACGAGACAAAACGCUAAUCAAAGCUGGGAGAGGGAGAGAAAGAGAAGAACCACAAAGAAAGCAGUGACAUCAUCCUCGCGCUGGAAAAAAAGGAGAAAGACAGCGAGAAGAAAAGAGAGCGACAAGGCCUCCUAGUUGGCGUACCUAUGCAUCUGUCAUUGAUUUCUUCCUCUGUAAAUAUUUGAAGGGCCAAUAAAGCCCUUUCUUUAUUUACUCCACUUUAUUUAUUCAGGCUCAUGCUAGCGCCUCGCAGUCUCCCUCUGGAAGGUGCGGCGUCAUCACCGCCCAAUUACUCAUGCAUUAUUAAAGCUUGUCUCCUUUCCUUUCUACUUCCUAUGUGAAGGUAGCAUUAUUAAAAGCUACUGUAUUCUUGCCCACUUCCUCCUUCCUUCCUUCCUUCCUUUCUUCCUAUCCUCCGCGCAUUUAAAAUCCUCCCUUUUCAUUUCUUCCGUGAUUUCCUUUUUUUGUCUUCUUUCUCCUCUUUUCUCUGUUAAAAGCUGACUUCCUACCUCCUCGGUUCCCCACAUAAUGUAAUACCCCGAAACUUCCUCUCUCUCUCGUUGUCUGUCCCUCCUCCGCUUCUCUUUUUCCUAACUCACUUCCAUGCUAUUCGCCCCGGGCUGCCUCCUGCAUCCUAACACAGGGAAUUGAAAAUCCUCCUAAGCUCUGAUCUGUGUGUGUAUGUGUGUUUUUUGAGAGAGAGAUUGUGUGUGUGUGUUGGGAGAGAGAUUGUGUGUGUGUGUGUUGGGAGAGUGAUUGUCUGUGUGUGUCUGACUUGUCUUUCAUUAGAGGGAGCUUUGAUGUGAAGGAACAAUGAAGGUGGCAUUGUCACUAAGGAUCUUUUUUUAAUAUAACUGCCUGGUGUCUCUUUCUGCACUGCCAGGUCACAGUGACAUCUUAUUUCAGAGAUAUAGGGUUGGAUAUGGGAAGUCAACUGCCUGGUGUCUCUGUCUGCACUGCCAGGUCACAGUGACAUCUUAUUUCAGAGAUAUAGGGUUGGAUAUGGGAAGUCAACUGCCUGGUGUCUCUGUCUGCACUGCCAGUACACAGUGACAUAUUUUUUCAGAGAUAUAGGGUUGGAUAUGGGAAGUCAACUGCCUGGUGUCUCUGUCUGCACUGCCAGUUCACAGUGACAUAUUUUUUCAGAGAUAUAGGGUUGGAUAUGGGAAGUCAACUGCCUGGUGUCUCCGUCUGCACUGCCAGUUCACAGUGACAUAUUUUUCCAGAGAUAUAGGGUUGGAUAUGGGAAGUCCAGUACACACAUAGAGUGUACCGCGACCUCAGAGAGGUGAGACGGUGAAACGGUUGGACAGACAAAGGAGAAGGGGUGGAGAGAGAACACACAGUGACAUGCUUGUACGAAAACAAAGCACAGCACAGACCGUACAAUAACAAUCCAACACCUCUUUACCAAUCUAAAUCCAACCCCUCCUCUCCAACAAUGCAGAGUUACAGAGACAAGAGAGGAAGAGACCAGGGGAGGGAGAGACCAGGGGAGGGAGAGACCAGGGGAGGGAGAGGGGGCGAGAUAGAGAGGGGAAGAGAAACAGGCAUAAACAAGGUAGUGAAAAUAGAAACACACCGUUGUACAGGGGACCAGAGGCAUCCAUUCUCUCCACCACUUCAAAAACCCGGGCAGACGACAUGAGGAAACAGCACCCGUCCCAAAAAGCACCCCGUUGCCCGUGCAGUGCACUCCUUCUGACCAGAAUGCCUAGCAGCACUGUGGGGAAUAGGGGGCCAUUUUGGACACUGUCACAGAGGGAGAUGUUUCCAAGGAAGCUCAUGGGUCCCAUGGGGACAAUGGUCCAGUUGUGCAGAAGCCCAGUAACUGCUCUGAAAAUGUAUUUAUUUUUUGUCCAGCUAAAUGAGUUGUAAGUAGAUUACUGAAGAUGUUGUUAUAUAUAGUCUUACUAUGAGGUUAUUCUUGAUUCGUAUUGACCCUAACCCUUAUGCCACGAUUGAAGUUACUGCACUUUCACGUGGUUGGGCAAAGCAGGGCGCUCUUCCAACCGCCCGAAAUAUUACAGAAGUGAUAUUUAUCUCCCCUGAAAUGUAUGUUUUCAUAUUUCAUAUUUGUGGGGUCGCAUUCUCCCUCAGCGUGUGUACGGGAGAUCGGCUAAAUGCCUCAGGAGAGACGUACCAGACCUCAGGCAGACUGGGCCUUGAGCACUUGUGGCCUCAACUACAUAAUCCAAACAUUAUGUUCCACAACCAUAGCUGAAUUCCCAGGAUAACACACACACACACACACUGAUGGAUGGGCCCUCCUCCCCAACACACUGCAUUAUAACUUCAUCCCUGACACGUUGUAUAUGAGCAGGAGCCCUCAGCCUGUAUCAUAAGUAGACCUAUUUAUAGCAUCCAUGCCGCGGCGGAGGCGCUCACAGGGGAGAACAUGAGUGAGUGUUGUUAAUAUUCCAAAUGCUAAUACCGACAACUCUCUAAUCGCCCACUUCCACAUAACAGUAGGCUGCGUCUUACAGAAAUCGCAGAACACUUUGAGUGAACUAUCCCUUCAAAGGAAUGUUUGAAACUUUAUCUUCAAGGGACAGUUCUCUUAAAAUACAAUCCUUUAUAGCCAUAUUUUGACGGAAGUGUCUUUGAAGACCCACACCAGUGGAAAUCAUUUUUAUCGACCAGAAAGUCGAUGUCCAGACCUUACCCAUAAUGUUGUACAGCGGUUCACGUCAAUAGGUCAUAUGACAUAACUAAGAUUGAGGUGAUAAAUCCAAUCUUCUCAGGUGUCUGUGAAAUCUGUCAUUUCCUAGAAAAUGAUGUGCAUACUCUUUGCAGCUGGCCUUUCAGUUCAGAGCUCAGGUUUAUUUGUCUUUGGGGCUCCAACUGACAGUCAGCUAUGUCAGUUACGCUACACUUGCAUUGCAAUAGCCCUGUUGUAAUUCUUUUUCCUUUUGUUACGAUCUGCUUAUCGUAAUAAUUUCGGUAAUUUGUGACAUUUCGCAAAUGUUUUAGCUAUUGUGUGUACAGCAAAAAUAUAUGAAUAUCUGAGGAAAUCGUGAAUGAGGAAAUUGUGUGAUAUGAUUGCAUUUUACAUUGCCGGAGGUUCAAUGGUUUUAUACCACUAAUGUAACAAGCACAUUUACAGUCAUGUAAGAAAGUACCCCCAGGAUGUUACAUAUUUGGACGUGUGGAUGUGUAAUCUUUACAUCAACACUACUGACAGAUAAAGGUAUACCUAAUUUAACAAAUGACACUGAAAGAUUGUACUUGGCAGUCACUGCAGAAAUACGCUAGGUUCAAAUAGCUGUUUUAGCCCCCUUUGGCUGAAACGCCUUCAUGCAGUUUCUUGUAACCGUCUAUCAGUGUUGUACAUCGACUGGGAGGAACUUUUGCCCCCUUUUCAGUACAGUGCUGCUUCAACGGUAAUGUUCAAGGGCUUUCUUGCAUGCGCAUCUUGUUUCAAGUCCUCCCACAGCAUUCCAAUAGGACUGAAAUCUGGACAUUGUCUCAGCCAUUCCAUUACCCUCCAUCUCCUCUGUUCGAGCCAUCCUGUUGUAGCUUUGCUUGUGUGUUUCGGGUCAUUGGUCUUGUGGAAAGAUCCAAGAUGACCUUUGGUCUAGAGAUUUAGAUUAGAUUGGAUUCAACUUUAUUGUCAUUGAACAAGUAAAGGUACGGUACAACAAGAUGCAGUUAGCAUCUAACCAGAAGUGCUAAUAGACGAGGGCGGAAAAUGUACAAGUAUUAAGUGGAAUGGUACUGAGGGCUACCUCGCAAUCCCCAAGUCCAAGUAUAAAGGCUUUGGUGACAGGGCUUUCUCCUAGGCUCUGGAACUCGCUCCCCAAAACCAUCUGUGACUCUGAGACUAUCCCCAUCUUCCAGCAAUGCCUCAAAACUCAUCUGUUCAAAAUCACCUACCCUUAGCCAUGCCCAGGCCCAUUCUCUCAAUUGUCUUUGUUUUACCAUGGUAUUUUUUUUGUUUGUUUCUGUUCCAUGUUCAUUUUGUAAAGCGUCUUUGGGUCCCUGAAAAGCGCUAUAUAAAUAUAAUGCAUUAUUAGUGAUGGGUCACAGAGUUCAGCAGUCUAUCUAAAUCACCUGGGUAAAUAUUUAUAUGGAGGAUUUUUGGCUGUGAUUCAGAUUAUGUUGGUGUAGCUAGCAAGUUGUGCUAGCUAGCUACAGCCUGGGCUCCAUUAUAGGAAAUUGUCAUGAUACGAUAUACGAGGAUGCAGUUGUUGGUGGUCUUAAAUGGAAAGCAGACCGAAAAUAUAAUGAUUAAAGCGCCCAUAUUAUGACUGCUUUUCAACUUAUAGGUCUAUAAGUUCCAUAAAACAUGUUUCUGAAGUUGUUUGCUGGAAAUAGCUUGUAGGAAAAGAUUCUUACCUCCCUCUAUUACCCUCUGUUUCAGUCCCUUUCAAAGUUUUCUGCUGCUCAUUGCAUAUUCAUUAGCUGCUGCUCCUUUGCCCACGCCCACUCUAACUGUUACCAUGGUAGCGGGGAGAGCGUAGUAGUAAAAGAGAGAAAUGCCAUCAACUUCAUCUUUUAGAAUGUAUGUAUUAUUAUGCCAACAGAUACAUCAAGCAAAAAAGUAUCACUAAUAAAUACACUCCAGGAGAAGAAACUACAGAAUGGUUGGCUUCAAGUGUAAAUAGUGCUGUGAUGUAGCAGUCUAAACCAUACACUUGUUUUGCCCUAGACAACGCUAACAUAUUCCCGUUUGUAAAUAUAAUAUUAUAAAAUAUUUACAAAUGCAUUAUUUGCACAAAUCCCCGAAAUUAUAUCCGGCGGGGGAUGAGUAUUGCUUGACCGACUGAGUCUCCGGGUUUGUAUGUGGACACCAUGCUAAUAGCUAGAAGCUAGCGGUUAGCGUUACCUUGUACUAUGUGGCAAAACACUAGCUAGCUAAAAUGUUAGUUUGCCAAAACACUUCUUGGUUAGUUUGUGUAGAAUUGCAAAAUAAAGACAGCUAAUUGUAUAGAACUACUUACAUGUCCCUUGUCUGCAGGUAUUCCACGCAAAGUUUGAAUUGCGCACUCUUUUAGCAAAAGUUUCUUGGCUAAUCCUGCCUUGUACUGACCGAAGUUGGAGAAACAGCCGUCUCAAACUGGUUAGCACAAACCGAAAAAAUUUUGAUAACUGUAGCAGGGACAUUGCCUUCAAAAAUGAAUUCAAGCCAUGCCACUCUUCUGUCCUCUGCGGCUGGGACGCGAUGGAGUGUUUUGUGCUCCUCUUUACAGCCAACCACAGUUUAAGUGGUGCUUCGACAUGGUGGUUCUGAAUCAGUAACAACAUGGAGGAUAUCAGAGAAGAAGUUACUGCUGUACCUGGUGGGUGGAGGGUGGGAAUAUUUAAAUUUUUCGGACUGUGACGUCACAGUCCGAGGAGUUUUCUAACAGCUCACCCAGAGACUGAAGACAGAGGACAUUCAGAAACCUAUAUCUCACUCAAAACAGCAUGGAUGUUUUUUUUCCAAAGUUUGUAUGCGUGUGGAAGCACCAGAGACGCAAAAGAACACCCCAAAACCCAGAAAACGUGAUUUUUUUCAUAAUAUGGGCACUUUAAGCAUUUUCAGUGAACUGUCCCUUUAAGUGAAUAAACAGGGUCCUUUUAUAGAAAGGACCGUUGUGAUGUUCUGUGAAUCGCAACACCUGGAGGCUGUCGUCAUCGGCUGUGCAGCUCUUCAAGGGCCUCGGGAGAGCGCUGCGUUACAGAAGAUGGCUGCCUUUGAUCUGGCUUAGAGAUGGAGAGAAACAAUAGCGUCAGCUGGAGAGGCCCCACACUGGAACAACACAUACACACACUCAAAGACACAUAGGAACGAUGCACUCUACAGCAAAUAGUCAAACUGAACACAUGGCAGGCUCCUUUGAAGCAGCGGGAAUGUGAUAGGGAGGAGGCAGCAGCAGCAGUUACAUGACAGUCAGACG
Esox lucius (northern pike) is the source of this 6123-nucleotide long non-coding RNA. The record is from Ensembl. Lineage: Eukaryota; Metazoa; Chordata; Actinopteri; Esociformes; Esocidae.